Molecule: long non-coding RNA, 362 nt
Organism: Gossypium raimondii (Peruvian cotton)
Lineage: Eukaryota; Viridiplantae; Streptophyta; Magnoliopsida; Malvales; Malvaceae
Exons: 3
Source: RefSeq, a predicted model, not a curated record
AUUAUCUUUGUGCCAAAUGAAAAGAGAAAGAAAAUAAGAAAACCAAGCUAGGUAUUCGGCCCUUGCUCAAGCAAAUUAAGAUCAAGAACAGAAGAAAACGGAAUUAGAUCGGGGAAAGUCGAAAGUAGUUGACUAUGUCUGUCGAUAUCCGAGAGUUCUAAAGACUUGCUCGGGUUGGAAGACGUUGGAGUCGUGAUCACCCUAUCCGGUUAUGGCUUCGGUAAAUUAAAGCUUUGAGUUUUUGGUUAUGUGGCAUGUAUUGGCUAGUUUUAAUUUAGUUUUGUAUAUAUAUUUAGCCAUGCGAAAAUGGCUUGAUCUAAUGCUAAUGAUCCAAGGUUUAAGUAAUUUUGGUCAUAGUAAAG